GUCGGGGUACUGCCCGGUGAAGAUCGUCGGCCGCGACGGCACGCA
This 45-nucleotide small RNA is filed under the name Nocardioides sp. Root1257. RNAcentral describes it as "Mycobacterium sRNA Ms_AS-5". It matches the Rfam family "Mycobacterium sRNA Ms_AS-5". Lineage: Bacteria; Bacillati; Actinomycetota; Actinomycetes; Propionibacteriales; Nocardioidaceae. The record is from Rfam by way of RNAcentral.